This 121-nucleotide small nucleolar RNA is filed under the name Echinops telfairi (small Madagascar hedgehog). RNAcentral's name for it is "Small nucleolar RNA SNORA61 (ENSETEG00000024439.1)". Lineage: Eukaryota; Metazoa; Chordata; Mammalia; Afrosoricida; Tenrecidae. The record is from RNAcentral.
ACCCUCCAGAUUCCUUACACAUCAUAUAUAAAUAUUGGUCUGAGUGGUUAAAAAAGGAAGAAAAGUAAAAUUGAAGUAGACCUGAAGGCUUUAAUGACAUACAAGUUCAUUUCAAACAUUA